This 433-nucleotide ribosomal RNA is filed under the name uncultured bacterium. RNAcentral describes it as "partial 16S ribosomal RNA". It matches the Rfam family "Bacterial small subunit ribosomal RNA", at positions 29 to 507 of the family's 1533-position model. The record is from RNAcentral.
AACGAACGCUGGCGGCAUGCCUAACACAUGCAAGUCGAACGAGACCUUCGGGUCUAGUGGCGUACGGGUGCGUAACGCGUGGGAACCUGCCCUUAGGUUCGGAAUAACUCCCCGAAAGGGGUGCUAAUACCGGAUAAUGUCUUCGGACCAAAGAUUUAUCGCCUUUGGAUGGGCCCGCGUUGGAUUAGCGAGUUGGUAGUGUAAAAGCCUACCAAGGCGACGAUCCAUAGCUGGUCUGAGAGGAUGAUCAGCCACACUGGGACUGAGACACGGCCCAGACUCCUACGGGAGGCAGCAGUGGGGAAUAUUGGACAAGGGGCGAAAGCCUGAUCCAGCAAUGCCGCGUGAGUGAUGAAGGCCUUAGGGUUGUAAAGCUCUUUUACCCGGGAUGAUAAUGACAGUACCGGGAGAAUAAGCUCCGGCUAACUCCGUG